AUUGAACGCUGGCGGCAGGCUUAACACAUGCAAGUCGAGCGGGGAAAGGUAGCUUGCUACCUGACCUAGCGGCGGACGGGUGAGUAAUGCUUAGGAAUCUGCCUAUUAGUGGGGGACAACAUCUCGAAAGGGAUGCUAAUACCGCAUACGUCCUACGGGAGAAAGCAGGGGACCUUCGGGCCUUGCGCUAAUAGAUGAGCCUAAGUCGGAUUAGCUAGUUGGUGGGGUAAAGGCCUACCAAGGCGACGAUCUGUAGCGGGUCUGAGAGGAUGAUCCGCCACACUGGGACGAAGACACGGCCCAGACUCCUACGGGAGGCAGCAGGGGGGAAUAUUGGACAAUGGGGGGAACCCUGAUCCAGCCAUGCCGCGUGUGUGAAGAAGGCCUUUUGGUUGUAAAGCACUUUAAGCGAGGAGGAGGCUACCGAGAUUAAUACUCUUGGAUAGUGGACGUUACUCGCAGAAUAAGCACCGGCUAACUCUGUG
This 485-nucleotide ribosomal RNA is filed under the name uncultured bacterium. Its description in RNAcentral is "partial 16S ribosomal RNA". It matches the Rfam family "Bacterial small subunit ribosomal RNA", at positions 30 to 507 of the family's 1533-position model. The record is from RNAcentral.